UACUUAGGAAUCUGCCCAGUAGUGGGGGACAACUCGAGGAAACUCGAGCUAAUACCGCAUACGCCCUAUGGGGGAAAGUGGAGGAUCUUCGGACUUCACGCUAUUGGAUGAGCCUAAGUCGGAUUAGCUUGUUGGUAGGGUAAAGGCCUACCAAGGCGACGAUCCGUAGCUGGUCUGAGAGGACGAUCAGCCACACUGGGACUGAGACACGGCCCAGACUCCUACGGGAGGCAGCAGUGGGGAAUAUUGGACAAUGGGGGCAACCCUGAUCCAGCAAUGCCGCGUGUGUGAAGAAGGCCU
This 300-nucleotide ribosomal RNA is filed under the name uncultured Piscirickettsiaceae bacterium. Its description in RNAcentral is "bacterial SSU rRNA". It matches the Rfam family "Bacterial small subunit ribosomal RNA", at positions 114 to 417 of the family's 1533-position model. Lineage: Bacteria; Pseudomonadati; Pseudomonadota; Gammaproteobacteria; Thiotrichales; Piscirickettsiaceae. The record is from RNAcentral.